CGCGGCGGCUGGCUGGGGAGCGAGCGCUGCUUGGAGCCCAGGGGCCGGCGGUCUGAGCUCCGUGAUCUCGGCCCUGGAUAGGCGGGCGGGGCGGGAUGCGCGCCGCGGGAGCGAGCCUGGCCGUCCUCAGGGCCGCGGAGAAUCUCGCUGGGCACCGAGAUGCGGACACUGAGGUCUAGAGGGCUGGUGUGCAGCAGAGCCAGAUGAGUUCCUGGAAUUCCUUUAGUUAGUAGGGAGACUUGAGUUUGGAUGCUGGCAACCCAGGCAGAGGGAACAGGCCAGGUUCCCAGUAAGGCUGCACAGAGGAACCCGCUGACUGUGGCAAUGGAGGGGGGCCCAGCGGUCUGCUGCCAGGACCCUCGGGCAGAGUUGGUGGAGCGAGUGGCAGCCAUGGAUGUGGCCCACUUGGAGGAGACGGAUGGCAGCCCAGAGCCCACCAGGAACUGUGUGGACCCUUCACCACGGGCCAGAGCUGCCUCCGUGAUCCCCGGCGGUACUUCAAGAUGCCCCGCCGCCCGGCCCGGCCUCUCGGCUAGGAAGUUCUCCCUGCAGGAGCGGCCAGCGGGGAGCUGCCUGGAGGCUCAGGCUGCACCUUACGCCACAGGGCCUGCCAGCCACAUCUCCCCACGGGCAUGGCGCAGGCCCACCAUCGAGUCCCACCAUGUGGCCAUCUCGGACGCAGAGGACUGUGUGCAGCUGAACCAGUACAAGCUGCAGAGUGAGAUUGGCAAGGGUGCCUACGGCGUGGUGAGGCUGGCCUACAACGAAAGUGAAGACAGGCACUAUGCAAUGAAAGUUCUUUCCAAGAAGAAGUUACUGAAGCAGUAUGGCUUUCCACGUCGCCCUCCCCCUAGAGGGUCCCAGGCUGCCCAGGCAGGACCAGCCAAGCAGCUGCUGCCCCUGGAGCGGGUGUACCAGGAGAUCGCCAUCCUGAAGAAGCUGGACCACGUGAAUGUGGUCAAGCUGAUCGAGGUCCUGGAUGACCCAGCUGAGGACAAUCUCUAUUUGGUGUUUGACCUCCUGAGAAAGGGGCCGGUCAUGGAAGUGCCCUGCGACAAGCCCUUCCCCGAGGAGCAAGCUCGUCUCUACCUGAGGGACAUCAUCCUGGGUCUUGAGUACUUGCACUACCAGAAGAUCAUCCACAGGGACAUCAAGCCAUCCAACCUGCUCCUGGGGGACGACGGGCACGUGAAGAUCGCCGACUUCGGCGUCAGCAACCAGUUUGAGGGGAACGACGCUCGGCUGUCCAGCACGGCCGGGACCCCAGCGUUCAUGGCCCCUGAGGCCAUUUCUGAGUCCGGCCAGAGCUUCAGUGGGAAGGCCUUGGACGUGUGGGCCACAGGGAUCACGCUGUACUGCUUUGUCUACGGGAAGUGCCCAUUCAUCGAUGAUUUCAUCCUGGCCCUGCACCGCAAGAUCAAGAAUGAGGCCAUCGUGUUCCCGGAGGAGCCAAAGGUCAGCGAAGAGCUCAAGGACUUAAUCCUGAAGAUGCUAGACAAGAACCCUGAAACAAGAAUUGGGGUGCCAGACAUCAAGUCGCAUCCCUGGGUGACCAAGAAUGGGGAGGAGCCCCUUCCCUCGGAGGAGGAGCAUUGCACCGUGGUAGAGGUGACGGAGGAGGAGGUGAAGAACUCAGUCAGGCUCAUCCCCAGCUGGACCACAGUGAUCCUGGUUAAGUCCAUGCUGAGAAAGCGUUCCUUUGGGAACCCGUUUGAGCCCCAGGCGCGGAGGGAAGAGCGAUCCAUGUCUGCCCCAGGAAGCUUAUUGUCCGAGUAAGGACAGGCAGACUGGUGACGACGAUGCUGGGCCAGGGAAGAGGAACCCCCAGUGCUGCCAGCUGCCGCCUCAGAGCCCGGCAGUCUGGGAUGCUGACAAGGCCUGCUGGAGUUUGCGCACAGACCUGCAGAGAGAAAACAGUAAGGGGGUCCUGGACCAGAAUGUGGUCCUGGGACUUGGGUCGCCUUCCUCUAGCCUGCGAAGGGAGCUGCGGGACAGAGGGGCUGUGCCAGCCAGCCCGCUCUGCGGAGGAGAUGUGCUCCCCUGGGAGGUGAGCGGCGGCUGCCGUCCAGGAAGGAUGGGUGUGGUGAAGGAGGCAAAAGCCCGGAGCUCCCCGGCGUCCAAGAAGAUGAGGCUGCGUCCUGAGCCCCUGCAUGCGCCCAGGGCCGCCCGGCAGCACGCUCAUCCUGCGCCUCCAAAGGCCCACUGCCCUCAUGCCAACAGCCGCCCCUGCGGGCAGGGGGCUGGGGACUGUGGCCCCUCUCCUGGCCCUCCUCCCCUGUCGUGCUGCAUGACCUCCACAAGUGCGUGUCCAGGGACAGGAUCGGAAUAUGUGUCACCUGGGGUUUGGGGGGGGUAGGGCUCCCACAAAGCCUUUUGUUUCGUCCUGGCUCUCCCUGGCGGGACCCAUUCUUUGGGGAAGCUGGGUGCCCGUGGUGCCUUAGAAACCUCACCGGCUGGUUGGCAAGGCCCAGGGGCAGGAGGCAGGAAACCAAGAUGACAGGUGGAAGCCUCGUUUGCUACCACCGCAGAGGCCGGGUGGGCGUGGCUCAGCCGCCACCUGCACAAGGAGGGGUGUACCCUGCCCUCCUCAGGGGGGCGCUGCCAGAGCUCUUGUCUACUGAGAACACUGACGUGGAGGCUCUGAGCCCUUGGUGGGUGUUCCUGGGCCUCACGGGGGCGGGGGCCAGUAUUGGAGAAUCCAGGUUCCUCUUUCGUUAUCUUUUUUUUGGUAACUUGAUGGGGGAGGUAGGUGCAAAGCUCUGCCUGGGAACACGUAUCGAGCUUUCCUCCAGCUUUGGGUGGUUCCCAGCGUACCCACCAUCACUUGGCAGCCAAGUGGAUUGGACUGGCCUUCCCGGAUUGUGUUUCACACUCUGGAGGAUGGGCUGAGUGAGGCUUGGAGCAGAGGCCCGAACCAGGAACACCAGCCUUCCCUGCCCGCCUCCCUCCCUCCCCCCGUGGCUCCCCAGAGCCCUGGCUGCCAGAGAUACCAGGGCUGACAUGGACCGAGGGCCCUGGACUCACAGGGCUGUGACCUUGCAGAUGCUGGAGUAACUGAAAUCCAGGCUGCGCUCCAGCACCGGCCUCCCCAUCUGGUCCUGGAAGCUGCCCUCGCGUUCCAAUGAUGAAGGACCAAGUGCCCAGGUUGGAGGCCUCGCUAGAGCUGGAACCCUGGUGGGGUGUGUGCGCUGGCAGGUGGCCACGGAGAGGUGGGCCUUCUGUCGCUGGCUCACCCCAGAACAGUUGUCAUCCCACCUGCUCAGAGCUGGAGCCGACUUCUCUCUGGGAUCAGUGCCUGGCUUGCUGGCUUGGCCUUGACUGACCAAAUGCUGAAGAGACUGACCCCCAAAGGAAAAUGAAGCAGGACUCACAUACCUGCCCUGAAGACAUGGGCCAGACAAGGGAUUUCAGUCACCCUCACGGGGCUCCUGUUGCAGGAGAACUCUGUUCGGAAGGGAAGGAGGUGGGGCUGGAGGAAGGCUGCAUCCCACGUGUGUCUGUGCCUGUGGGUGUACAUCACCUCUCCAUGCACGCACGCCCGUGCGUGCCCAUCUGCUGCACACAGCAUGUCUUGCACCAGCACGUGCAUCUGUAAUAUAGUGUCUAUGUUUAUUUAAGGCUCUGAGCAGAACGCGGCCAGUUGUCAUCGGGUCCACAUUUCUCCCUGCUCCUCUGCAGUAAGGCAUUGUAACCCAGGGCUUAAACAAUAAUUCGGUACUGUUCUUAAGAACACUUUUUAUAGAGUUCAUGGGAGGCCAUUCACGGAUCAGCAGGUUUUCCCUGAGCAUCUCUGUGCUGGGGCCUUGGAGGGUAGGGGUUUCAGGGACACGCUCCCCCCUCGCAGAGCUCCAAGGUGGGCCCGGCUUCAUUGCCCACGCUCACCCCAUCACUGAGGGUUUGGACUGGCAUUAUUGUUUCUGAAUGUAGCACAAGGGAUGGACAGACUCCAUAAGAGUGUUUUAAAAAUUAACUUCCUAGGAAGUGAGUUAAAAAUAAUAAAAGCCCUUUCCUGAGUUAAAACAAAACAA
RNA transcript from Orcinus orca (killer whale), 4028 nucleotides. It is a transcript of the gene named calcium/calmodulin dependent protein kinase kinase 1, with no coding region annotated. The record is from RefSeq and is a predicted model, not a curated record. The transcript has 19 exons. NCBI's taxonomy places the organism in Eukaryota, Metazoa, Chordata, Mammalia, Artiodactyla, Delphinidae.